RNAcentral lists this ribosomal RNA (506 nucleotides) under uncultured bacterium. RNAcentral's name for it is "partial 16S ribosomal RNA". It matches the Rfam family "Bacterial small subunit ribosomal RNA", at positions 30 to 523 of the family's 1533-position model. The record is from RNAcentral.
AUUGAACGCUGGCGGUACGCUUAACACAUGCAAGUCGAACGGCAGCAUGGUCUAGCUUGCUAGACUGAUGGCGAGUGGCGGACGGGUGAGUAACGCGUAGGAAUAUGCCUUGAAGAGUGGGACAACUUGGGGAAACUCAAGCUAAUACCGCAUAUACUCGAGAGAGUAAAGCUGGGGACCUUUAGGCCUGGCGCCUUAAGAUUAGCCUGCGUCCGAUUAGCUAGUUGGUAGGGUAAAGGCCUACCAAGGCGACGAUCGGUAGCUGGUCUGAGAGGAUGAUCAGCCACACUGGAACUGAGAGACGGUCCAGACUCCUACGGGAGGCAGCAGUGGGGAAUAUUGGACAAUGGGGGGAACCCUGAUCCAGCAAUGCCGCGUGUGUGAAGAAGGCCUGAGGGUUGUAAAGCACUUUCAGUGGGGAGGAGGUUUGGAAGGUUAAGAGCUAUUCAAAUGGACGUUACCCACAGAAGAAGCACCGGCUAACUCCGUGCCAGCAGCCGCAGUAA